UGGACAGAUUAUUGUAUUCGAUUGUAUUCACGGCGUGAAACAGGGGAUUACACUGUUUUUAAACGGAAAGUGAAUCAAUUAACAUAAUAGACUCCU
RNAcentral lists this microRNA precursor (96 nucleotides) under Nicotiana sylvestris (wood tobacco). Its description in RNAcentral is "MIR6152 microRNA precursor family". It matches the Rfam family "MIR6152 microRNA precursor family". Lineage: Eukaryota; Viridiplantae; Streptophyta; Magnoliopsida; Solanales; Solanaceae. The record is from Rfam by way of RNAcentral. RNAcentral also lists the same sequence under 1 other name.